GUGCCAGCAGCCGCGGUAAUACGUAGGGUGCGAGCGUUGUCCGGAUUUAUUGGGCGUAAAGGGCUCGUAGGCGGCGUGUCGCGUCGGGAGUGAAAGACCGGGGCUUAACCCCGGUUCUGCUUCCGGUACGGGCAUGCUGGAGUGUGGCAGGGGAGACUGGAAUUCCUGGUGUAGCGGUGGAAUGCGCAGAUAUCAGGAGGAACACCGGUGGCGAAGGCGGGUCUCUGGGCCAUUACUGACGCUGAGGAGCGAAAGCGUGGGGAGCGAACAGGAUUAGAUACCCUGGUAGUCC
RNAcentral lists this ribosomal RNA (292 nucleotides) under uncultured bacterium. Its description in RNAcentral is "partial 16S ribosomal RNA". It matches the Rfam family "Bacterial small subunit ribosomal RNA", at positions 505 to 796 of the family's 1533-position model. The record is from RNAcentral.